GGUGCUUCGGGUUACUCGCGUGAAGUUGCAAGUUGCCGAGGUUUCCCUCCAAGCAUGUUUGACCGUAAGGUCGAUGCUUGGGUGUUCUAUUCCUUCGACAGGGAUAAUUAUUUUGACGAAAGGAUCUGACGUAGAAGCGAGAGCUGCCAAGGCGUCUGCAGAGAUGUUUUCUCCUCUGGGGAUCCUAGUUAAUUCAAACAAUUCGAACUGUUGGGUCAAUGUUUUGACCAGUUCGAGGUACGCUUCCAUGCACUCGUCUUUAGCUUCGUAUUCCCCGUGGAACUGGCUAGUGACGUGUUGGGAGUCGAUGUGGGC
Molecule: small RNA, 315 nt
Filed under: Arabidopsis thaliana (thale cress)
Lineage: Eukaryota; Viridiplantae; Streptophyta; Magnoliopsida; Brassicales; Brassicaceae
Description: ATSL096290
Source: RNAcentral